GAGAGGGAGAGAGCGGCUCACGGUGGAGAUCCACUGAGGAAAGUCCCCCCACUCCCGGACACGCAGCCGUAUGCAAAUACGGGUGGCGAGAGUCACGGCUCUGACACAGAAACGACACGGCCUGCCGUCAGCCAUGAUGCGACCGAGCCAUUGAAUCCUACCGGUUUAAUGGCGAGAAGCAGGAUUCUGCGAGAUAACUCGUUGAGCCCAGCGGCGGGAUACGAUGAAACGGUGAACCCCUGCGGGUGCAAGCCAGAACAGGGCACAUGGUGAGUCCGGAACCAAGCCCGGGUAUGGCGCUUAGCUGAAUGCCGCUACGAACAGAAGGGGGCUUACUCCUCCCACUC
This 347-nucleotide RNase P RNA is filed under the name Methanomicrobiales archaeon. RNAcentral's name for it is "RNase P RNA component". It matches the Rfam family "Archaeal RNase P". Rfam says of the family: Ribonuclease P (RNase P) is a ubiquitous endoribonuclease, found in archaea, bacteria and eukarya as well as chloroplasts and mitochondria. The record is from RNAcentral. Lineage: Archaea; Methanobacteriati; Methanobacteriota; Methanomicrobia; Methanomicrobiales.